GCGUCGCUAGCUCAGAAGCGCAGAGCAACUGGCUCUUAACCAGUGGGUCCAGGGUUCAAGUCCCUGGCGACGCACCA
This 77-nucleotide transfer RNA is filed under the name Mycobacteroides abscessus. RNAcentral describes it as "tRNA-Lys". It matches the Rfam family "tRNA". Rfam says of the family: Transfer RNA (tRNA) molecules are approximately 80 nucleotides in length. Their secondary structure includes four short double-helical elements and three loops (D, anti-codon, and T loops). Further hydrogen bonds mediate the characteristic L-shaped molecular structure. tRNAs have two regions of fundamental functional importance: the anti-codon, which is responsible for specific mRNA codon recognition, and the 3' end, to which the tRNAs corresponding amino acid is attached (by aminoacyl-tRNA synthetases). tRNAs cope with the degeneracy of the genetic code in two manners: having more than one tRNA (with a specific anti-codon) for a particular amino acid; and 'wobble' base-pairing, i.e. permitting non-standard base-pairing at the 3rd anti-codon position. Lineage: Bacteria; Bacillati; Actinomycetota; Actinomycetes; Mycobacteriales; Mycobacteriaceae. The record is from RNAcentral.